This 386-nucleotide ribosomal RNA is filed under the name uncultured bacterium. Its description in RNAcentral is "bacterial SSU rRNA". It matches the Rfam family "Bacterial small subunit ribosomal RNA", at positions 28 to 409 of the family's 1533-position model. The record is from RNAcentral.
GAUGAACGCUAGCGGCAGGCCUAAUACAUGCAAGUCGAACGGUAACAGGCCUUCGGGUGCUGACGAGUGGCGAACGGGUGAGUAAUGCAUCGGAACGUGCCCAAUCGUGGGGGAUAACGCAGCGAAAGUUGCGCUAAUACCGCAUAAGCCCUGAGGGGGAAAGCGGGGGACCGAAAGGCCUCGUGCGAAUGGAGCGGCCGAUGUCAGAUUAGCUAGUUGGUGGGGUAAAGGCUCACCAAGGCGACGAUCUGUAGCGGGUCUGAGAGGAUGAUCCGCCACACUGGGACUGAGACACGGCCCAGACUCCUACGGGAGGCAGCAGUGGGGGAAUUUUGGACGAAUAGGGCGGCAAGACCUCGAUCCACGCCACUGCCGCCGUGCGGGAC